AUUACUUGACCAAGUGGCUUUACUCAAAGUAUAUGAUCAUGUACGAUUUGAACAAUACACAGACGAACAAAGAAGAAAAUCUUACGACUGUUUUAUAACCCCUUCUCACGGAAUAAUUCGUUGCCAUUUCCUUCAUUACGUCUAUUCCAAGUCCUAUCACUGUGUAGGACAGAACCAAAUCACAACCUCAAUGACCGGUGAUGGCGAACGUGUUCGAUAAGUUUGAGUGACAGACUUAGUCAAACCAAAGAACUCAGAGUUGAUGUUCGACUUUCUGUAGCUAGUCGACACGACGCUGUUCUUCGCCUUCCU
This 312-nucleotide ribosomal RNA is filed under the name Triticum aestivum (bread wheat). RNAcentral's name for it is "partial small subunit ribosomal RNA". Lineage: Eukaryota; Viridiplantae; Streptophyta; Magnoliopsida; Poales; Poaceae. The record is from RNAcentral.